RNAcentral lists this ribosomal RNA (632 nucleotides) under uncultured bacterium. RNAcentral describes it as "bacterial SSU rRNA". It matches the Rfam family "Bacterial small subunit ribosomal RNA", at positions 65 to 684 of the family's 1533-position model. The record is from RNAcentral.
AGGGGCAGCAUGGUCUUAGCUUGCUAAGGCUGAUGGCGACCGGCGCACGGGUGAGUAACACGUAUCCAACCUGCCGUCUACUCUUGGCCAGCCUUCUGAAAGGAAGAUUAAUCCAGGAUGGGAUCAUGAGUUCACAUGUCCGCAUGAUUAAAGGUAUUUUCCGGUAGACGAUGGGGAUGCGUUCCAUUAGAUAGUAGGCGGGGUAACGGCCCACCUAGUCAACGAUGGAUAGGGGUUCUGAGAGGAAGGUCCCCCACAUUGGAACUGAGACACGGUCCAAACUCCUACGGGAGGCAGCAGUGAGGAAUAUUGGUCAAUGGGCGAUGGCCUGAACCAGCCAAGUAGCGUGAAGGAUGACUGCCCUAUGGGUUGUAAACUUCUUUUAUAAAGGAAUAAAGUCGGGUAUGCAUACCCGUUUGCAUGUACUUUAUGAAUAAGGAUCGGCUAACUCCGUGCCAGCAGCCGCGGUAAUACGGAGGAUCCGAGCGUUAUCCGGAUUUAUUGGGUUUAAAGGGAGCGUAGAUGGAUGUUUAAGUCAGUUGUGAAAGUUUGCGGCUCAACCGUAAAAUUGCAGUUGAUACUGGAUGUCUUGAGUGCAGUUGAGGCAGGCGGAAUUCGUGGUGUAGCGGUGA